UACGUAGGUGGCAAGCGUUGUCCGGAUUUACUGGGCGUAAAGAGCGCGCAGGCGGCUCGGUAAGUCUGCUGUGAAAUCUCCCGGCUUAACUGGGAGGGGUCAGCGGAUACUGUCGGGCUUGAGGCAGGUAGAGGAAGGUGGAAUUCCCGGUGUAGUGGUGAAAUGCGUAGAUAUCGGGAGGAACACCAGUGGCGAAGGCGGCCUUCUGGGCCUGUCCUGACGCUGAGGAGCGAAAGCGUGGGGAGCAAACAGG
This 253-nucleotide ribosomal RNA is filed under the name uncultured bacterium. RNAcentral describes it as "partial 16S ribosomal RNA". It matches the Rfam family "Bacterial small subunit ribosomal RNA", at positions 524 to 776 of the family's 1533-position model. The record is from RNAcentral.